Long non-coding RNA from Onychostruthus taczanowskii (white-rumped snowfinch), 318 nucleotides. RefSeq lists it as uncharacterized. The transcript has 2 exons. The record is from RefSeq and is a predicted model, not a curated record. Lineage: Eukaryota; Metazoa; Chordata; Aves; Passeriformes; Passeridae.
CCAAUCUACACUUUUAACCCUCUUGUAGUCGGCGGCGCAGGAGUCUUGCUUUUGCUGCUGCUGCUGCUGCUGUUCAAGGUUACAGCCCGGAGCGGAGCAGGAGUGAACAGCGGCGGCAAGCGAAACUUCGCCGGGCGGUCGGGACCGUGCCGAGGGGGCGCGCCGAGGCGGGGGCGCGCUCGGCGGGCAGGGCGGGCGGUGCGGCCUGCGGGCUCCUCCGGCAGCCUCUGCUCGCCCGCCCGUCCUCGCUCUGCGGGCAGUGGUGAGACUGCUUUCCAAACGGACACCGUAAUAAAAAUGAUCUCCUGAAAAUUCAAA